CCUACGGGGGGCUGCAGUGGGGAAUAUUGGACAAUGGGGGGAACCCUGAUCCAGCCAUGCCGCGUGUGUGAAGAAGGCCCUCGGGUUGUAAAGCACUUUCAGUGAGGAAGAACGCCUGGUGGUUAAUACCCAUCAGGAAAGACAUUACUCACAGAAGAAGCACCGGCUAACUCCGUGCCAGCAGCCGCGGUAAUACGGAGGGUGCGAGCGUUAAUCGGAAUUACUGGGCGUAAAGCGCGCGUAGGUGGCUUGAUAAGCCGGUUGUGAAAGCCCCGGGCUCAACCUGGGAACGGCAUCCGGAACUGUCAAGCUAGAGUGCAGGAGAGGAAGGUAGAAUUCCCGGUGUAGCGGUGAAAUGCGUAGAGAUCGGGAGGAAUACCAGUGGCGAAGGCGGCCUUCUGGACUGACACUGACACUGAGGUGCGAAAGCGUGGGUAGCAAACAGGAUUAGAUACCCCAGUAGUC
RNAcentral lists this ribosomal RNA (465 nucleotides) under Vreelandella stevensii. Its description in RNAcentral is "partial 16S ribosomal RNA". It matches the Rfam family "Bacterial small subunit ribosomal RNA", at positions 338 to 795 of the family's 1533-position model. Lineage: Bacteria; Pseudomonadati; Pseudomonadota; Gammaproteobacteria; Oceanospirillales; Halomonadaceae. The record is from RNAcentral.